GACGAACGCUGGCGGCGUGCUUAACACAUGCAAGUCGAGCGGUAAGGCCCUUUCGGGGGUACACGAGCGGCGAACGGGUGAGUAACACGUGGGUGACCUGCCCUCAGCUCUGGGAUAAGCCUGGGAAACCGGGUCUAAUACUGGAUAUGACUCCAUGACGCAUGUUGUGGGGUGGAAAGCCUUGUGCGGCUGAGGAUGGGCCCGCGGCCUAUCAGCUUGUUGGUGGGGUGAUGGCCUACCAAGGCGACGACGGGUAGCCGGCCUGAGAGGGCGACCGGCCACACUGGGACUGAGACACGGCCCAGACUCCUACGGGAGGCAGCAGUGGGGAAUCCUGCGCAAUGGGCGAAAGCCUGACGCAGCGACGCCGCGUGGGUGAUGAAGGCCUCGGUC
RNAcentral lists this ribosomal RNA (393 nucleotides) under uncultured bacterium. RNAcentral describes it as "bacterial SSU rRNA". It matches the Rfam family "Bacterial small subunit ribosomal RNA", at positions 28 to 424 of the family's 1533-position model. The record is from RNAcentral.